This 450-nucleotide ribosomal RNA is filed under the name uncultured bacterium. RNAcentral describes it as "partial 16S ribosomal RNA". It matches the Rfam family "Bacterial small subunit ribosomal RNA", at positions 354 to 796 of the family's 1533-position model. The record is from RNAcentral.
GUAGUGAAUCUUCCACAAUGGACGAAAGUCUGAUGGAGCAACGCCGCGUGAGUGAAGAAGGUUUUCGGAUCGUAAAACUCUGUUGUUGGAGAAGAACACGUUUGAGAGUAACUGUUCAGACGUUGACGGUAUCCAACCAGAAAGCCACGGCUAACUACGUGCCAGCAGCCGCGGUAAUACGUAGGUGGCAAGCGUUAUCCGGAUUUAUUGGGCGUAAAGCGAGCGCAGGCGGUUUUUUAAGUCUGAUGUGAAAGCCUUCGGCUUAACCGAAGAAGUGCAUCGGAAACUGGGAAACUUGAGUGCAGAAGAGGACAGUGGAACUCCAUGUGUAGCGGUGAAAUGCGUAGAUAUAUGGAAGAACACCAGUGGCGAAGGCGGCUGUCUGGUCUGUAACUGACGCUGAGGCUCGAAAGCAUGGGUAGCGAACAGGAUUAGAUACCCGUGUAGUCC